CGCGGCCUAUCAGCUUGUUGGUGGGGUAGUGGCCUACCAAGGCGGCGACGGGUAGCCGGCCUGAGAGGGUGACCGGCCACAUUGGGACCGAGAUACGGCCCAGACUCCUACGGGAGGCAGCAGUGGGGAAUAUUGCACAAUGGGCGCAAGCCUGAUGCAGCAACGCCGCGUGCGGGAUGACGGCCUUCGGGUUGUAAACCGCUUUCAGCAGGGACGAAGCUUUUUGUGACGGUACCUGCAGAAGAAGCACCGGCUAACUACGUGCCAGCAGCCGCGGUGAUACGUAGGGUGCGAGCGUUGUCCGGAUUUAUUGGGCGUAAAGGGCUCGUAGGCGGUUGAUCGCGUCGGAAGUGGAAACUUGAUGCUUAACGUUGAGCGUGCUUUCGAUACGGGUUGACUUGAGGAAGGUAGGGGAGAAUGGAAUUCCUGGUGGAGCGGUGGAAUGCGCAGAUAUCAGGAGGAACACCAGUGGCGAAGGCGGUUCUCUGGACCUUUCCUGACGCUGAGGAGCGAAAGCGUGGGGAGCGAACAGGCUUAGAUACCCUGGUAGUCCACGCUGUAAACGGUGGGUACUAGGUGUGGGGUCCAUUCCACGGAUUCUGUGCCGUAGCUAACGCAUUAAGUACCCCGCCUGGGGAGUACGG
This 644-nucleotide ribosomal RNA is filed under the name uncultured bacterium. RNAcentral describes it as "bacterial SSU rRNA". It matches the Rfam family "Bacterial small subunit ribosomal RNA", at positions 232 to 885 of the family's 1533-position model. The record is from RNAcentral.